GCAUAUCAAUAAGCGGAGGAAAAGAAACCAACAGGGAUUGCCCUAGUAACGGCGAGUGAAGCGGCAACAGCUCAAAUUUGAAAUCUGGCUCUUUCAGAGUCCGAGUUGUAAUUUGCAGAGGGCGCUUUGGUGUCGGCAGCGGUCCAAGUUCCUUGGAACAGGACGUCACAGAGGGUGAGAAUCCCGUACGUGGUCGCUAGCCUUCGCCGUGUAAAGCCCCUUCGACGAGUCGAGUUGUUUGGGAAUGCAGCUCUAAAUGGGAGGUAAAUUUCUUCUAAAGCUAAAUACUGGCCAGAGACCGAUAGCGCACAAGUAGAGUGAUCGAAAGAUGAAAAGCACUUUGGAAAGAGAGUCAAAUAGCACGUGAAAUUGUUGAAAGGGAAGCGCUUGCAGCCAGACUUGCCUGUAGUUGCUUAUCCGGACUUUUGUCCGGUGCACUCUUCUGCGGGCAGGCCAGCAUCAGUUUGGGCGGUUGGAUAAAGGUCUCUGUCAUGUACCUCUCUUCGGGGAGAACUUAUAGGGGAGACGACAUGCAACCAGCCUGGACUGAGGUCCGCGCAUCUGCUAGGAUG
Molecule: ribosomal RNA, 572 nt
Filed under: Paraphoma sp. ICMP 6619
Lineage: Eukaryota; Fungi; Ascomycota; Dothideomycetes; Pleosporales; Phaeosphaeriaceae
Description: eukaryotic LSU rRNA
Rfam family: Eukaryotic large subunit ribosomal RNA
Source: RNAcentral